GUCUUUUGCAAACAAGUUCAUGAACCAAGAAAACCACCUUAUAACUCCACCAACUCUCCUUAUUCAUUGUUUUAAAUGCUUUUAUAAAUCUUUACUGUCACUUGAUAAUUAUUUACAGUAACAUGGAACAAAAGUGAAGCAGAUAUUUGAAAUCUACAGAUGACUCUACCUCCAAUUCAGCAGACUGGUGUUUGAGUAACUCACAAAGAAGUUCAGAAGCCACUGCGCCAGCCACGGAGGUACACGGCUCAACUCUCCUUCCAGACAGAAGCUGCUGGGAGGAGCUCCAGCUACCACAGCAGUCAUUCUGAGGCUACGCCUUCCCCAGGCUGCUUCUAGCCAAUAACUCUGCACAGCAGGGAGACUGGAGGUGGGACAUUUCUGCCAACAUGGGACCCAUCGAAUGGCUCUCCUCUCUGGCUUGGCUAAAACAUUCUCAGAACUGUACUGUCAUCUGAGGCUCUUUGUACCCAUUCCUCCUUCCCUCUUCCUCUUUUUUUCCCAGGUGUCAGACUUACAUCAUGGCCUGGGGAUCUCACAGCCUUCACCUGCUUCCUCUCCUCUCUAUGUUUCACAGACAUUUCCCCAAUAAAUCUCAUAAAUCUCUUGUAUUUCUAAUUUUGUCUUGGAUUUGCUUCCUGGAUUACCCGGCCUGCUGCAGCUGCCAUUGUGCUAUUUUCUCUCCUUCUCCCCCGCCUCAAUUUUAUAAUGCAUAGUUUUAUAAAAAGAAAUAGCCUAUGCU
RNAcentral lists this long non-coding RNA (742 nucleotides) under Homo sapiens (human). RNAcentral describes it as "HSALNT0093655". The record is from RNAcentral. Lineage: Eukaryota; Metazoa; Chordata; Mammalia; Primates; Hominidae.